GUUAACUUGAUACCUUGUAAAUAAGGAAAAUAAUGACAAAAAUCAUUGUGAUUCAUUGGAAGGAAACUGCCAUACCCUUUAAAAGUAAUGAAAGCAAGAUUCUAUAUCCUUUGCCUAAUAGAAAGAUAACUUCCUCACUAUUUGACUUGAAACUUUGAUUUCUUGAACAAACGUUUGACCACCUGCUAUCUGACAGAUUCUGGGAGGCACCAGGGAUAUAAGGAAGCAAGACAAUUUCUGCUUUCAAUGAAUUUCAAGUUCAGAGAAGGAGCAUAUGUAUUCAGUGGCAAGGACAAUGUUACAUGACAAUUGAACCAAUUUUUGGUGGUUGCACCUGGACACUGAAGCCACCGUUUUCCAGAUUGUUUGCUUGGUUGUUUCCUCUGCCGGAUAUCUAUGUUUAUUGCUCUACCCUGAGGCUCAUCAUCUCAGGAAUCAGUGAAAUGUUUCCAAGAGUGGAUGGAACAGAUGUUGGGCAUGAGGCUGAGACACGCCCUGGAAGGUAACUAAAAGUCGAAUUAGCUUUAUUUUUUUGUUUGCUUUGCCUCGUUAUUUUAAAAGUUGUAUGUAAAAGAACUCUACUUAAUU
RNAcentral lists this long non-coding RNA (588 nucleotides) under Felis catus (domestic cat). Its description in RNAcentral is "lncRNA (ENSFCAG00000042050.2)". The record is from RNAcentral. Lineage: Eukaryota; Metazoa; Chordata; Mammalia; Carnivora; Felidae.